This 253-nucleotide ribosomal RNA is filed under the name uncultured bacterium. Its description in RNAcentral is "partial 16S ribosomal RNA". It matches the Rfam family "Bacterial small subunit ribosomal RNA", at positions 524 to 776 of the family's 1533-position model. The record is from RNAcentral.
UACGUAGGGUGCGAGCGUUGUUCGGAAUUACUGGGCGGAAAGGGCUCGUAGGUGGCCAACUAAGUCAGACGUGAAAUCCCUCGGCUCAACCGGGGAACUGCGUCCGAUACUGGUGGGCUCGAAUCCGGGAGAGGGAUGUGGAAUUCCAGGUGUAGCGGUGAAAUGCGUAGAUAUCUGGAGGAACACCGGUGGCGAAGGCGGCAUCCUGGACCGGCAUUGACGCUGAGGCGCGAAAGCCAGGGGAGCAAACGGG